This 1707-nucleotide ribosomal RNA is filed under the name Meloidogyne enterolobii. RNAcentral describes it as "SSU rRNA". It matches the Rfam family "Eukaryotic small subunit ribosomal RNA". The record is from RNAcentral. Lineage: Eukaryota; Metazoa; Nematoda; Chromadorea; Rhabditida; Meloidogynidae.
GGCGAUCGAAAAGAUUAAGCCAUGCAUGUAUAAGUUUAAUCGUUUUAACGAGAAACCGCGAACGGCUCAUUACAAUGGCCAUGAUUUACUUGAUCUUGAUUAUCUAAAUGGAUAACUGUGGAAAAGCUAGAGCUAAUACAUGCACCAGAGCUUUGUCCUCUCGGAAAAGCGCAUUUAUUAGAACAAAACCACGCGGCUUCGGCUGCUUCUUGUUGACUCAGAAUAACUAAGCUGACCGCAUGGCCUUGUGCCGGCGGCGUGUCUUUCAAGCGUCCACUUUAUCAACUUGACGGGAGCAUAAUCGACUCCCGUGGUGGUGACGGAUAACGGAGGAUCAGGGUUCGACUCCGGAGAAGGGGCCUGAGAAAUGGCCACUACGUCUAAGGAUGGCAGCAGGCGCGCAAAUUACCCACUCUCGGCUCGAGGAGGUAGUGACGAGAAAUAACGAGACUGUUCUCUUUGAGGCCGGUCAUCGGAAUGGGUACAAUUUAAACCCUUUAACGAGUAUCAAGCAGAGGGCAAGUCUGGUGCCAGCAGCCGCGGUAAUUCCAGCUCUGCUAAUACAUAGAAUUAUUGCUGCGGUUAAAAAGCUCGUAGUUGGAUUCGUAUCGGUACCUUGGAACCCUUCGGGUGUUUCUGGGUGUUAUCGAUUUAUCGUAAUGUUCGGUUUUGAGUCCUUAACAGGAUUUUUAACAGUCAUUGCAAGUUUACUUUGAACAAAUCAGAGUGCUUCAAACAGGCGUUUUCGCUUGAAUGAUCGUGCAUGGAAUAAUAGAAAACGAUUUCGGUUCAGUUUUAUUGGUUUUACGGACUGAGAUAAUGGUUAACAGAGACAAACGGGGGCAUUUGUAUGGCCCCGUGAGAGGUGAAAUUCUUGGACCGUGGCCAGACAAACUACAGCGAAAGCAUUUGCCAAGAAUGUCUUCAUUAAUCAAGAACGAAAGUCAGAGGUUCGAAGGCGAUCAGAUACCGCCCUAGUUCUGACCGUAAACGAUGCCAACUAGCGAUCCGCUGAUGGAAAUUAUAUUGCCUUGGUGGGGAGCUUCCCGGAAACGAAAGUCUUCCGGUUCCGGGGGAAGUAUGGUUGCAAAGCUGAAACUUAAAGGAAUUGACGGAAGGGCACCACCAGGAGUGGAGCCUGCGGCUUAAUUUGACUCAACACGGGGAAACUCACCCGGCCCGGACACUGUGAGGAUUGACAGAUUGAUAGCUUUUUCAUGAUUCAGUGGAUGGUGGUGCAUGGCCGUUCUUAGUUCGUGGAGUGAUUUGUCUGGUUUAUUCCGAUAACGAGCGAGACUCUAACCUACUAAAUAGUUGGUACAUACUCUUUGUGUAUACAGCUUCUUAGAGGGAUUUGCGGCGUUCAGCCGAAAGAAAUUGAGCAAUAACAGGUCUGUGAUGCCCUUAGAUGUCCGGGGCUGCACGCGCGCUACACUGGCAAAAUCAACGUGCUUGUCCUACCCUGAAAGGGGCGGGUAAACCAUUGAAAAUUUGCCGUGAUUGGGAUCGGAAAUUGCAAUUAUUUUCCGUGAACGAGGAAUUCCAAGUAAGUGCGAGUCAUCAGCUCGCGUUGAUUACGUCCCUGCCCUUUGUACACACCGCCCGUCGCUGCCCGGGACUGAGCCAUUUCGAGAAAUUUGGGGACCGUUGAUUUAAUUUAUCUAAAUUAUUUUGAUGGAAACCAAUUUAAUCGCAGUGGCUUGAACC